Molecule: ribosomal RNA, 560 nt
Filed under: Daphnia galeata
Lineage: Eukaryota; Metazoa; Arthropoda; Branchiopoda; Diplostraca; Daphniidae
Description: SSU rRNA
Rfam family: Eukaryotic small subunit ribosomal RNA
Source: RNAcentral
GACAGAUUGAGAGCUCUUUCUUGAUUCGGUGGGUGGUGGUGCAUGGCCGUUCUUAGUUGGUGGAGCGAUUUGUCUGGUUAAUUCCGAUAACGAACGAGACUCUAGCCUGCUAAAUAGGUGACGGGUUUUAUCAAUUGAAACCGAAGGGAGUACGGAGGCGUCGGGAUCAGGUGGCGGCGGUUUUCGGGUUUCGAUGGGCCCAGUCUCUUUAGUGAUGCGUGCUGUUGGCUGUUUGUUGGCUUUCGUUUUUUCUGCGGGAUUCGGAGUUCGCUUCGGGUUUCGUGGUUGGGCGGAGGUUGGCGGCGGUCGGCUGUGCGUUUCGCGGGGGCUGGAUCUGUUGUUAUUCGGUCGUCGUCAUCCCCGGCGAUACCUUCUGCUCUCGCGUCCGUCACGCAGUCUUCUUAGAGGGACAAGCGGCGUCCAGCCGCGUGACAGUGAGCAAUAACAGGUCUGUGAUGCCCUUAGAUGUCCUGGGCCGCACGCGCGCUACACUGAAGGAAUCAGCGUGUUUCACUCUCCCUGUCCGAAAGGACCGGGUAACCGCUGAACCUCCUUCGUGG